This 69-nucleotide transfer RNA is filed under the name Rattus norvegicus (Norway rat). It matches the Rfam family "tRNA". Rfam says of the family: Transfer RNA (tRNA) molecules are approximately 80 nucleotides in length. Their secondary structure includes four short double-helical elements and three loops (D, anti-codon, and T loops). Further hydrogen bonds mediate the characteristic L-shaped molecular structure. tRNAs have two regions of fundamental functional importance: the anti-codon, which is responsible for specific mRNA codon recognition, and the 3' end, to which the tRNAs corresponding amino acid is attached (by aminoacyl-tRNA synthetases). tRNAs cope with the degeneracy of the genetic code in two manners: having more than one tRNA (with a specific anti-codon) for a particular amino acid; and 'wobble' base-pairing, i.e. permitting non-standard base-pairing at the 3rd anti-codon position. The record is from Rfam by way of RNAcentral. Lineage: Eukaryota; Metazoa; Chordata; Mammalia; Rodentia; Muridae.
GGGGAUUUAGCUCAGUGGUAGAGCGCUUGCCUAGCAAGCACAAGGCCCUGGGUUCGGUUCCCAACUCCA